GAUGAACGCUGGCGGCGUGCCUAAUACAUGCAAGUCGAGCGAACAGACGAGGAGCUUGCUCCUCUGACGUUAGCGGCGGACGGGUGAGUAACACGUGGAUAACCUACCUAUAAGACUGGGAUAACUUCGGGAAACCGGAGCUAAUACCGGAUAAUAUAUUGAACCGCAUGGUUCAAUAGUGAAAGACGGUUUUGCUGUCACUUAUAGAUGGAUCCGCGCCGCAUUAGCUAGUUGGUAAGGUAACGGCUUACCAAGGCAACGAUGCGUAGCCGACCUGAGAGGGUGGUCGGCCACACUGGAACUGAGACGCGGUCCAGACUCCUACGGGAGGCAGCAGUAGGGAAUCUUCGGCAAUGGGCGAAAGCCUGACGGAGCAACGCCGCGUGAGUGAUGAAGGUCUUCGGAUCGUAAAACUCUGUUAUUAGGGAAGAACAAAUGUGUAAGUAACUAUGCACGUCUUGACGGUACCUAAUCAGAAAGCCACGGCUAACUACGUG
RNAcentral lists this ribosomal RNA (497 nucleotides) under uncultured bacterium. RNAcentral describes it as "partial 16S ribosomal RNA". It matches the Rfam family "Bacterial small subunit ribosomal RNA", at positions 28 to 507 of the family's 1533-position model. The record is from RNAcentral.